This 494-nucleotide ribosomal RNA is filed under the name uncultured bacterium. RNAcentral's name for it is "partial 16S ribosomal RNA". It matches the Rfam family "Bacterial small subunit ribosomal RNA", at positions 28 to 507 of the family's 1533-position model. The record is from RNAcentral.
GACGAACGCUGGCGGCGCGCUUAACACAUGCAAGUCGAACGGAAAGGCCUGCUUUCCCUUGUGGAUUGCGGGUACUCGAGUGGCGAACGGGUGAGUAACACGUGAGUGAUCUGCCCCCAACUUGGGUAUAAGCCUGGGAAACUGGGUCUAAUUCCCGAUAGGACUGCAGGGUGGUGCCUGUGGUGGAAAACGAUUUUCUAGUGGUUGGGGAUGAGCUCGCGGCCUAUCAGCUUGUUGGUGGGGUAAUGGCCUACCAAGGCGGCGACGGGUAGCCGGCCUGAGAGGGUGGACGGCCACAUUGGGACUGAGAUACGGCCCAGACUCCUACGGGAGGCAGCAGUGGGGAAUAUUGCACAAUGGGCGGAAGCCUGAUGCAGCGACGCCGCGUGGGGGGUGACGGCCUUCGGGUUGUAAACUCCUUUCGACCGCGAGGAAGCCGCCUGGUUGGAAGGGUGGUGACGGUAGUGGUAGAAGAAGCACCGGCUAACUACGUG